Molecule: ribosomal RNA, 174 nt
Filed under: Brachoria indianae
Lineage: Eukaryota; Metazoa; Arthropoda; Diplopoda; Polydesmida; Xystodesmidae
Description: partial small subunit ribosomal RNA gene
Source: RNAcentral
GGAAAUACGGAUAGAGAUCAGGAUUGGUCUUUGGAAGGUGGAUUUGUAAGUAAUUAUUUUUAUAGAAUUAAUAAGUGAAGGGUGGAAUAACAUGUGUACAUAUUGCCCGUCGCUCUCGUUAUUUUUGAGAUAAGUCGUAACAUAGUUGAUGAACUGGAAAGUGUAUCUUUUUGA